This 90-nucleotide transfer RNA is filed under the name Acidobacteriota bacterium. Its description in RNAcentral is "Acidobacteria bacterium tRNA-Ser". It matches the Rfam family "tRNA". From Rfam's summary of the family: Transfer RNA (tRNA) molecules are approximately 80 nucleotides in length. Lineage: Bacteria; Pseudomonadati; Acidobacteriota. The record is from RNAcentral. RNAcentral also lists the same sequence under 1 other name.
GGAGAGGUGUCCGAGCGGCUUAAGGAGCACGCUUGGAAAGCGUGUGUUGGGGAAACUCAACCGUGGGUUCGAAUCCCACCCUCUCCGCCA